Molecule: transfer RNA, 68 nt
Filed under: Marmota monax (woodchuck)
Lineage: Eukaryota; Metazoa; Chordata; Mammalia; Rodentia; Sciuridae
Description: tRNA.Val
Source: RNAcentral
GCUGUGGCUCAGUGAUAGAGUACUUGCCUCACAUGUGUGAGGCACUGGGUUCUAUUCUCAGCUCCGCA